GCCUCGGUCGUAGUAGUGGUAACACGUGUACCCGACAUGUAUGGAACGCGGGUUCGACUCCCGUCUGAGACU
Non-coding RNA from Parelaphostrongylus tenuis, 72 nucleotides. NCBI's taxonomy places the organism in Eukaryota, Metazoa, Nematoda, Chromadorea, Rhabditida, Metastrongylidae. The record is from the annotation of a GenBank genome assembly.